AUUGAACGCUGGCGGCAGGCCUAACACAUGCAAGUCGAACGGUAACAGGAAGCAGCUUGCUGCUUCGCUGACGAGUGGCGGACGGGUGAGUAAUGUCUGGGAAACUGCCUGAUGGAGGGGGAUAACUACUGGAAACGGUAGCUAAUACCGCAUAACGUCGCAAGACCAAAGAGGGGGACCUUAGGGCCUCUUGCCAUCGGAUGUGCCCAGAUGGGAUUAGCUAGUAGGUGGGGUAACGGCUCACCUAGGCGACGAUCCCUAGCUGGUCUGAGAGGAUGACCAGCCACACUGGAACUGAGACACGGUCCAGACUCCUACGGGAGGCAGCAGUGGGGAAUAUUGCACAAUGGGCGCAAGCCUGAUGCAGCCAUGCCGCGUGUAUGAAGAAGGCCUUCGGGUUGUAAAGUACUUUCAGCGGGGAGGAGGGGAGUAAAGUUAAUACCUUUGCUCAUUGACGUUACCCGCAGAAGAAGCACCGGCUAACUCCGUG
This 490-nucleotide ribosomal RNA is filed under the name uncultured bacterium. Its description in RNAcentral is "partial 16S ribosomal RNA". It matches the Rfam family "Bacterial small subunit ribosomal RNA", at positions 30 to 507 of the family's 1533-position model. The record is from RNAcentral.